GAGCGAUAUGAGGAAUUGGGAUGACAUAUGGACCUGGGGCCUAAGGGCUCCUCGCAGCUUGGCUCUUGGCCAUCUUGCAGCUUAACAGUAUUGCCAGUAUUCUUACUGCAGUUCUCGUGAUGCUUCCCCCUACGCCCCCAGCCCCGGACUCCUGGGAUCAUGCAACACAAGGAUGGCAUACGUAUGAAUUUCCCUGGCCUAGGCCCCGCAGCCUUGCAUCCAGCACCAAAAAAGCCCUCGCUGACAUGACAAGAGAAGCAAGGACCCCGUCAUCAAUCAAAAAGCACCCUUGCAAGACGAAGCACUGCUCUUAUCCCGAUGUAAAAAGUUUGCAGCAGAGCAAGGAGCAGAAUCCAGAUCUCCUGGGUCCCAGGCUGGUGCCGUAAUCAUUCACCUUUCCUGCUGCAGCUUCUGCGGGGGGGGAAUAAAAAUCAGAGACCAGCAGACGUAACCCA
RNAcentral lists this long non-coding RNA (455 nucleotides) under Crocodylus porosus (Australian saltwater crocodile). RNAcentral describes it as "lncRNA (ENSCPRG00005003189.1)". Lineage: Eukaryota; Metazoa; Chordata; Crocodylia; Crocodylidae. The record is from RNAcentral.